Molecule: signal recognition particle RNA, 294 nt
Filed under: Cebus imitator (Panamanian white-faced capuchin)
Lineage: Eukaryota; Metazoa; Chordata; Mammalia; Primates; Cebidae
Description: Metazoan signal recognition particle RNA (ENSCCAG00000003838.1)
Rfam family: Metazoan signal recognition particle RNA
About the family: The signal recognition particle (SRP) is a universally conserved ribonucleoprotein.
Source: RNAcentral
GCCGGCUGUGGUGGUCUGUAGUUCCAGCUGCUUGGGAGGCUGAGUCAGGAGGAUCACUUGAGCUCAGGAAUUCUGGGUUAUCGUGAAAUAUGUGAUCAGGCAUCUGCACUAAGUUUGGCAUCAAUAUGGUGACAUUUUGGGAGCAGGGGACCACCAGGUUACCUAAGGUGUCUGAGGAGGGGUUUCCAGGUUGGAAAUGGGGCAGCUCAACACUCCCUAGCUGAUCAGUACUGAGACUGCUCCUGUGAGUAGCCACUGCACUCUGGCCUGGGCAACAUAGCGAGACCUCAGUUA